Long non-coding RNA from Teleopsis dalmanni, 1751 nucleotides. RefSeq lists it as uncharacterized. The transcript has 7 exons. NCBI's taxonomy places the organism in Eukaryota, Metazoa, Arthropoda, Insecta, Diptera, Diopsidae. The record is from RefSeq and is a predicted model, not a curated record.
UUAAAAAAAUUCGAAAAAAAAUCUAAAACAGUCAAGUCCUUGUGUCCUAGAGUCAAAAUUACGUUGUACGUUGAGUGGAUUUUCAUGGAAGGAACCUAAGGGUUUCUAUUUUAAAAUUUGGCUGCUGUAUUAAAGUAUAAACAGUUUUCAUAUAAGGUUUUAGUAAGGAUUACUUAAAAUAGCUUAAGAAAAACGCGUUAAGAAAAACAAAACUAACUAGAAAAUCAAUUAAAUUCUUAGAAACACAAUGAGCAGAGUCGAAUACAAGUUUUUCUAGUUAACUUUACUGCUGAUUUUACACGAUUGUUGGGAGAAUAAAUAAACUAUUUUAUUGAAAUUUUAUAUUUUAUAAGAAUAUAAAAUUUAAAUACAGAAGAGGAAAGAGGAAAAUGUAUGAAAUAAAUUCAUAGUGCAUGAUGAGGCGGAAUCAUGUUGAUAAUAAGAUAUCUAAAAGUAAACCUGUAAACCUCACCAGUUUUACAUUGUAAUUUAUAGAAAAUCAGAGAAUUAUAAAAUCAGAAAAUCACUAAUUUAAACUAAGAAACUAAUGGAAUAAUUGUUAACAAGAGACCCCAGCUAUUUUGGUACUUUUUGGUAAAAGCAAAAAAAACCGAAAACCGGAAAUAGACAACCGAAAAAUAUUGCAAACAUACACUGGGAAAUAUUAUUGUGUUUAUGAAACUUUACUUAACUCUAUUUAACUCUAAUCUAUUGGAUAAAUGGAUGGUGUCCCUCUAUUAGUUUCAUUUCACUAUACAAAUAUAAAAGAAAUUUAUUAUAACAAUAUGGAUGCAGUCGUAGUUUUUACUAUACGGCAAAGUAAGUUCUGGAAAAAUUAAUUGGAUGCUACAAAUACUGAAAAGACAACGGUCCGCCAAAUUUCUGUAUUUAAUACAUAAAUUAUUGGUAUAAUGUGUUUCAAGAGUAUUUGGGAUUUUCACUAAGUGUUGUGUGAGAUUUAUAUAAAAUGUUAAAUGUAAAUGUUAAAUAAGAUUCACAAGUAAAUCUUAAUGAACGAAACGGAAGAAUUGAAUCCUAAAACCCAAAGAAAUCGUACAAUCCUCUAAUAAUGGAUUAAUAUUACUAACUAGUACAACUGAAAAUUUUAAUAUGUAAUAAAAUAUAGUUCAUAAGUACUUUCGCAAUUCACAACGGAAAGGAUUUAUAUACCAUUUAGUUUUCAAUUUGAAAUAAUCAAACACAAUCUGUUUGGGUACUGUUCCAAUUAAUAAAUUUAUAUUUGUUAUAUAAGUAAUUGUUGCUUUUAACUUUUUUGAAUAACACGUAAUUCAAUCAACCAUAAUGGAUCAAUUUUGGGUGUGUGAACCAUAAAAUUGUACUUCCUCUGAAUGUGGAACUAUGAUAUGUGGAUGUGUAUCUGAUAUGAAUGGUGUUGUCCUUGUUCAAUAAGAACCCUGAUAAUAAUACAUGAAAUAAAUAGGUCUGUUUGUAGACCUUCCAAGUGACGAUGAGAAAUGCCAAAGAUCGGACCAAAUCCAUAUGAAUGUUUUGGAACGAAUCUGAACUGAUAUAAAGCUGUGCUUGUAUGAUGAGGCACAUACUUUCUAGCAAUAGAUUUGCUGAACUAGCUCAAUCUAUAGAGGAAGCUAAUUAGGCUUCUAUCAAAAAGUUUUAAUUCCCUUCAAUAUAUUCUCGAGAACACAAUUCAACUCCUUUAGCCAGAGGGGCAAUAUAUACGAAACCUAGAUCCAAAUUGACACCAAAAUAAACAUAAAAAAUGUUUAAAUAUA